This 71-nucleotide transfer RNA is filed under the name Cantharellus cibarius (golden chanterelle). RNAcentral's name for it is "tRNA-Glu". It matches the Rfam family "tRNA". From Rfam's summary of the family: Transfer RNA (tRNA) molecules are approximately 80 nucleotides in length. Their secondary structure includes four short double-helical elements and three loops (D, anti-codon, and T loops). Further hydrogen bonds mediate the characteristic L-shaped molecular structure. tRNAs have two regions of fundamental functional importance: the anti-codon, which is responsible for specific mRNA codon recognition, and the 3' end, to which the tRNAs corresponding amino acid is attached (by aminoacyl-tRNA synthetases). tRNAs cope with the degeneracy of the genetic code in two manners: having more than one tRNA (with a specific anti-codon) for a particular amino acid; and 'wobble' base-pairing, i.e. permitting non-standard base-pairing at the 3rd anti-codon position. RNAcentral also lists the same sequence under 2 other names. The record is from RNAcentral. Lineage: Eukaryota; Fungi; Basidiomycota; Agaricomycetes; Cantharellales; Hydnaceae.
GACCCUUUAGUAUAAUGGUAGUACCAUCGCUCUUCAUGCGGCUGGCACCAGUUCGAUUCUGGUAAGGGUUA